AGUGAACGCUGGCGGUAGGCCUAACACAUGCAAGUCGAACGGCAGCACAGUAAGAGCUUGCUCUUACGGGUGGCGAGUGGCGGACGGGUGAGGAAUACAUCGGAAUCUACUUUUUCGUGGGGGAUAACGUAGGGAAACUUAUGCUAAUACCGCAUACGACCUACGGGUGAAAGCAGGGGAUCUUCGGACCUUGCGCGAUUGAAUGAGCCGAUGUCGGAUUAGCUGGUUGGCGGGGUAAAGGCCCACCAAGGCGACGAUCCGUAGCUGGUCUGAGAGGAUGAUCAGCCACACUGGAACUGAGACACGGUCCAGACUCCUACGGGAGGCAGCAGUGGGGAAUAUUGGACAAUGGGCGCAAGCCUGAUCCAGCCAUACCGCGUGGGUGAAGAAGGCCUUCGGGUUGUAAAGCCCUUUUGUUGGGAAAGAAAAGCAGCAGGUUAAUACCCCGCUGUUCUGACGGUACCCAAAGAAUAAGCACCGGCUAACUUCGUG
RNAcentral lists this ribosomal RNA (492 nucleotides) under uncultured bacterium. RNAcentral describes it as "partial 16S ribosomal RNA". It matches the Rfam family "Bacterial small subunit ribosomal RNA", at positions 29 to 507 of the family's 1533-position model. The record is from RNAcentral.